GCCGGGCAUGGUGGCGCACGCCUGUAAUCCCAGCUACUCGGGAGGCUGAGGCAGGAGAAUUGCUUGAACCCGGGAGGCAGGUGGAGGUUGCAGUGAGCCGAGAUUGUACCAUUGCACUCCAGCCCGGGUGACAAAAGCAAGAAUCUGUCUCAA
This is a non-coding RNA of Homo sapiens (human), 153 nucleotides long. It matches the Rfam family "Metazoan signal recognition particle RNA". Rfam says of the family: The signal recognition particle (SRP) is a universally conserved ribonucleoprotein. It is involved in the co-translational targeting of proteins to membranes. The record is from Rfam. NCBI's taxonomy places the organism in Eukaryota, Metazoa, Chordata, Mammalia, Primates, Hominidae.